CAGCCGCCUAAGGUGGGACAAAUGAUUGGGGUGAAGUCGUAACAAGGUAGCCGUAUCGGAAGGUGCGGCUGGAUCACCUCCUUU
RNAcentral lists this ribosomal RNA (84 nucleotides) under Shouchella rhizosphaerae. RNAcentral describes it as "partial 16S ribosomal RNA". It matches the Rfam family "Bacterial small subunit ribosomal RNA", at positions 1450 to 1533 of the family's 1533-position model. Lineage: Bacteria; Bacillati; Bacillota; Bacilli; Caryophanales; Bacillaceae. The record is from RNAcentral.